UGAAGAUUAAAAUUAACUCUCCCAUGAUAGUGAAGAUUAAAAUUGUAACCCCUGCCUAUUUUCAGAUUUUAAUCACCAAAAUUAUACACACCCUACUUAAAACUUGAGUAUGAGAUCUGCCCAUUUUUAGAUCUAAUCACCUAAACAUCCCUCUUAAUCAUUAAGUGGGAGGCCUGUGACCCACGUGUGGGAUAGUGAGUGAUAAAUCAGAAUCGACUGACUGCCUUGUGGGCAGUCCUAAAACAGGGCUUCAACUGUGAUUGGUAGACGUAGAAUUAGGGGAAGGCACAGGAAGUGAUGUAAGAGAAAGUGUCUUUAAAAGGGAAUAACAACUUCCUGAGUGAGUUCUAAUGGUAGUUCUUCAUUUUUUUAAUGGCAGUUCUUCAUUUUUUUAAGUGGAGGCUGAUGAAGAAUGUGCUGACUGGACCUGAGACUCCGUUUCCUGAAACACAAUGUCAAGGACGGUCCAAGCGGAUCCUAGAGGCGUUCCUCCACUCUGCAGGGUUUAUCAUGCCAACUAGAUGCCAAGCUCCCCCCCCCCUUCCUUCUUUUCCUGAAGGUGAAGAGUAUUUCGCCUCUUGGCUUCCUGUCCUCUCAAGAUGCUCGCAUAGCAUCAGUAUGCAGACAUGAACUCUGAACAGGGAUCUCAAGAAAUGAAUGUUCCCACUCUUAGGACUCCCCAUCUGAGACUGAGUUGGAGAGUUCCAAGUUUCCUGAGUCAAAUCUAAGUGUUCAAAAGAACUUUCUGCUCUGACAGGACUUCUUCCAGGAGAAGCAGCAUUACCAUUACAGCUGAAAUGACUAAAAAGUCCCCAAGUCAUGCCUGGCUGGCCAGAAGGUGGACUUUGUAACUUUCUCUGGCAAACAGAUAGAAAAGAAAUGUGAAACAAAUAGCUUUAACACUCUCACAGAGUUCCUUUGUUUUUUAGGAAGAUUAAAAUGAAGGCAAUGUGUUAUU
This 958-nucleotide long non-coding RNA is filed under the name Monodelphis domestica (gray short-tailed opossum). Its description in RNAcentral is "lncRNA (ENSMODG00000051199.1)". The record is from RNAcentral. Lineage: Eukaryota; Metazoa; Chordata; Mammalia; Didelphimorphia; Didelphidae.